This 465-nucleotide ribosomal RNA is filed under the name uncultured bacterium. RNAcentral describes it as "partial 16S ribosomal RNA". It matches the Rfam family "Bacterial small subunit ribosomal RNA", at positions 28 to 507 of the family's 1533-position model. The record is from RNAcentral.
GACGAACGCUGGCGGCGUGCUUAACACAUGCAAGUCGAACGGAAAGGCCCUGCUUGCAGGGUACUCGAGUGGCGAACGGGUGAGUAACACGUGGGUGAUCUGCCCUGCACUUCGGGAUAAGCCUGGGAAACUGGGUCUAAUACCGGAUAGGAGCCAUUUUUAGUGUGAUGGUUGGAAAGUUUUUUCGGUGUAGGAUGAGCUCGCGGCCUAUCAGCUUGUUGGUGGGGUAAUGGCCUACCAAGGCGGCGACGGGUAGCCGGCCUGAGAGGGUGGACGGCCACAUUGGGACUGAGAGAAGGCCCAGACUCCGACGGGAGGCAGCAGUGGGGAAGAUUGCACAAUGGGCGCAAGCCUGAUGCAGCGACGCCGCGUGGGGGAUGACGGCCUUCGGGUUGUAAACUCCUUUCGCUAGGGACGAAGCUUUUUGUGACGGUACCUAGAGAAGAAGCACCGGCUAACUACGUG